CUCAGACAGUCUGAUGAAGAAGAUGUGAUACAGAGAGACCUGAGGUGUGACGGAUCAUAGAGCAGUAUACCACUACAUUCUGACUGAGUGGCAGCGGUGUAUCAAUGAUGAAUCCAUUGAAGACAAAGCAGGAGUUGACAUGGUCUGGCGUAUGCUGUCUAUGAUGUGGAAAAAGAAUGGCAUGGUGUCUGGCAAGGACCUGGCCAUCCAACUGCUGCAGCAACUGCAUGGAACUAGAGCUCCAGAUAGCAGUGGUCAAGACCUUGUGGUAUUGCU
This is a long non-coding RNA of Alosa sapidissima (American shad), 276 nucleotides long. RefSeq lists it as uncharacterized. NCBI's taxonomy places the organism in Eukaryota, Metazoa, Chordata, Actinopteri, Clupeiformes, Clupeidae. The record is from RefSeq and is a predicted model, not a curated record. The transcript is spliced from 3 exons.